This is a long non-coding RNA of Polyodon spathula (Mississippi paddlefish), 1344 nucleotides long. RefSeq lists it as uncharacterized. NCBI's taxonomy places the organism in Eukaryota, Metazoa, Chordata, Actinopteri, Acipenseriformes, Polyodontidae. The record is from RefSeq and is a predicted model, not a curated record. The transcript is spliced from 3 exons.
AGACACAUAUUAGCAAGCGAGAGAGCAGCAUUAGGCACAUAGGAUCAAGGUUUCUUACCGUUUUCUGAUCAUUUUUCAAUUUGUAAAAUUUAUAAAAUAGAAGAGCAGUGUUCCAAAGCAUCCUAAAAGAAGUCGAUUCAGUCUUUUUGAAGUUUUGGAGGAGAUGGAUAGGAGUGAAAGUGACGUUGAAAAUGAUCAUCUUUGGGUUGGAGAGCACUAAUUCAGCGUCUGAAGCAGCAUUUGAAGAUGGAUUAGAUCCUCUUCAGGAUUUAGUGUCAUAUCAAUUUGGUCGAGCACGCUGGUCCUGCUGCUGGUCAGUGGGUUCUGUAACGUUGCUCAGAACAUGAUUGCCUUCAGCAUUUUGAACCUCAUCAGUCCUCUGAGCUACUCUGUGGCAAACGCUACGAAGCGCAUAAUUGUGAUCAGCGUGUCCCUGCUGCUGCUGAGGAACCCCGUCUCCUCAAAAUCACCAGCACACACCUCUAAACUCAGUGUGCCAACAAGGGCAAGAGUCAUUCGCUGUGCUAUGGUUACUAAGUGACUAUGGAAUGUAUACAGAAGUGCUGCGCUGGAAAAAAGCCAAGCCAAUGGAAUCAUGCCCUUCCCAGUCAACUCGGACUACCAGUACAGAGGAAACAACAUGCUGACGGAUCACUUCCAGUACAGCCGGCAGACCCACGCUCUGGGAAAGCGCUCAAACCAGUAUGAUGUGUAGAACCUGGGGAGGGAUAAGGGUCUGAAGUUUACUACCAGCGCUGUCGGUGAGAGAUUAGAUGACAGUUUCUGCAUGGGAGAGUUUGCACACUGAGACACUGUGUAUUAUUUAACCCACUCGGGUGCCGAGCCCACUAGUGUAGAUUUUCAAAUACGUGCGGAAGAUUUUAUUGAGCAUGCUACAUGAAAACUAGGGUGUACAAAAUGUGUUGCCCAUUUCCCCUAAUUUGGUAAUAUCAUAGUAUCCCUGAAUAGAUAAUCCCAAACAAAUGUAUUCAAAAUGAUUUUAACAAAGACGUGAGAUGGGAUUGUGGCUUCAAUUUGAAGAGGGGGUUUAACUGUAAUAAAAUUUUUAAAAAAUUGCCAAACAAAAAUAUGAAAAAUAUUUUUAAAAAAUAUAUAUAUUUUUGUUUAAUUUCACAAACCACAAUAAGUUUUAAUACCACAAUAAAAUUAUGUAAAAAUAGAUUCCUAGAAUUGGGGCAAUUGAUCUAUUCUGGGGUAACAUGAUUUAGGGCCUGAGUGGGGUAACAUGGGUAAAAAUUAAUCAUUUUGACUCUUGCUGUUGGAAGCAAGAAAGGAAUCAAAUUGUAGUUUAGGUGUAAAUAACAGUUACCCCCCCCCCCCCCC